GCUGGGCGUGGUGGCACAUGCCUGUAGUCCCAGCCACUCAGGAGGCUGAGGCAGGAGGAUUGCCUGAGCCCAGGAGGUCAAGGCUGCAGUGAGCUAUAAUCAUGCCACUGUACUCCAGCCUGGGCAACAGAGCAAGACUCUGUCUUAA
Pongo abelii (Sumatran orangutan) is the source of this 148-nucleotide unclassified non-coding RNA. It matches the Rfam family "Metazoan signal recognition particle RNA". Rfam says of the family: The signal recognition particle (SRP) is a universally conserved ribonucleoprotein. It is involved in the co-translational targeting of proteins to membranes. The record is from Ensembl. NCBI's taxonomy places the organism in Eukaryota, Metazoa, Chordata, Mammalia, Primates, Hominidae.